ACAUUACUUAUACAUACAUUACUUAUAUACACAUAUAUAUAUAUAUAUAUAUAUAUAUAUAUAUAUAUAGGAUAAAUUAAAAGUGUAUAUAUAUAUAUGUACAUACAUGUAUAAAAUAUUGCAUGAUGAUUUUUUAAAAAAAUAUUAUAAAUUUUUAUGUCAAAAACUUUAAAAAAAAAAAAAAAAAUGUUUUUCAGAUUAUGCAUAUUUAUACAAAUAUACAUACAUACAUACAUAUAUAUAUAUACACACGCUGCCUCGUUUACAGCAUGAUCUAUAAUUUUUUAAAAAUUGUUUUAAAUUAUAAAAUUUGUUUUAAAAGAAUUGAUUUCUAAUAAAAUUCAAUUUUUUAGUACCCAUCCAAUAUAUAUUUGUAUAUAUAUAUAUAUAUGUAUAUGCAUACGUAGUACCUUAAGUAAAUAACUGCUAUUUUUUUUUUUUUUUUUUUUUGUUUUUUUUAUAUUAAUUUAAUUUUUUGUCAUUUUUCUUUUAAUCACAUUAUUUGUGACAUUUUUCUUUUAAACACUUUAUCUGUGACACUUAAUUUUUUAACAUUUUAUUUUUGGGCAUUUUGUUGUAUAUUUUUUAUAAUUUUAAUAUACAUUUUACUAUGACGUUCAAUAAAUUUGUUUACGUUAGUUUAUUCUUGUUUUUGCAAGUAUUUUUAUCUAAUUAUAUAUUAUAUGAUUUUUUAAACAACAUUUUAAGUAAAACUAAUUAUAUAACAUCAUGGAGGAAUAUAAAAAGUAUAAACAGUAAUUACUUAAAAGAAUUAGAACAAUUCGAAAAUAAUAAUAUUUUUAAAGAAGAUGUUUUUAAACACUAUUUUUUUUUACAAACGAAUGAAAAUAAUAAUGUGAUAUUAGUAAAAUUAUAUAAACAAGAUAUACCUUCAAAAAAAAUAUCAACGUAUUAUGGACAAAUAUCAGUAGGAGAAAAUAAAGGAUUACCCAGCGUGUUGGAAGUAGAUUACUUGAGUGGAAAAAUAAAAGGAUUUGACGGUACACACAAACAUACACAUAUACAUAUAUAUUUAUGUACCUGUUUUGGGCAUUUAUAUUCGUCACGGUUUUUAUGUUUUAUUAUAUGUUGUCAUAAUUUUUUUAUAUUUCUUUUAUGUAUGUUAAUGAU
This 1131-nucleotide long non-coding RNA is filed under the name Piliocolobus tephrosceles (Ugandan red Colobus). RNAcentral describes it as "lncRNA (ENSPTEG00000025944.1)". The record is from RNAcentral. Lineage: Eukaryota; Metazoa; Chordata; Mammalia; Primates; Cercopithecidae.